UAACGGUGAUGAGCUUUUUAUCCCGAAACUGAUUUUAUUUGAUGAGACAGCCUAUCAUGGAUCCGAUUUCUGAGUU
Molecule: small nucleolar RNA, 76 nt
Organism: Cynoglossus semilaevis (tongue sole)
Lineage: Eukaryota; Metazoa; Chordata; Actinopteri; Pleuronectiformes; Cynoglossidae
Product: small nucleolar RNA SNORD50
Exons: 1
Source: RefSeq, a predicted model, not a curated record